Long non-coding RNA from Physella acuta, 568 nucleotides. RefSeq lists it as uncharacterized. The record is from RefSeq and is a predicted model, not a curated record. NCBI's taxonomy places the organism in Eukaryota, Metazoa, Mollusca, Gastropoda, Physidae.
AGCAAUCGAUGGCUGUGCUGAUAAGCCAUGCCCAUUAGGUUGUACAAAUCUUUCAAACAAUAUAAAACAGGAUACUGGAAUAUUUUACAACUGUGAAAAUUGCCCUGUUGGUUUUAAUCUUAGCAUUACUAAAACCAAAUGUGAAGACUUUGAUGAAUGUCAAACUUCACCAUGUGAUUCUCAUGCUGACUGUGAAAAUACUUACGGAAGUUUUUUGUGUCACUGUCAGAAUGGUUACCAAAAUGUAAACAACAGUUGUGUGGACAUAGAUGAGUGUGCUGAUAAACUAGAUAACUGUGAUCAGUUAUGUACCAACACUCCAGGAAGUUUUAAUUGUUCUUGUUAUCCUGGAUUUAAUAGCUCCAAAAAUACAUGUAUUAAAACAGAAACAGGUAUAAAUCAGUGUAAAUCAUUAAACACAACAUGCACAUAUGGCUGCAAUAAUGACACUCAAGGCUGUUUUUGUAAACAUGGAUUUAUUCUGAAAGAAAAUGGCAUUGAUUGUAUAGAUGUUGAUGAAUGUAAGAAAAACAUUUGCUCACAAAAGUGCAGUAAUAGUGAAGGGAGC